RNAcentral lists this ribosomal RNA (484 nucleotides) under uncultured bacterium. RNAcentral's name for it is "partial 16S ribosomal RNA". It matches the Rfam family "Bacterial small subunit ribosomal RNA", at positions 30 to 507 of the family's 1533-position model. The record is from RNAcentral.
AUUGAACGCUGGCGGCAGGCCUAACACAUGCAAGUCGAGCGGAUGAAGGGAGCUUGCUCCUGGAUUCAGCGGCGGACGGGUGAGUAAUGCCUAGGAAUCUGCCUGGUAGUGGGGGAUAACGUCCGGAAACGGGCGCUAAUACCGCAUACGUCCGGAGGGAGAAAGGGGGGGAUCUUCGGACCUCACGCUAUCAGAUGAGCCUAGGUCGGAUUAGCUAGUUGGUGGGGUAAAGGCCUACCAAGGCGACGAUCCGUAACUGGUCUGAGAGGAUGAUCAGUCACACUGGAACUGAGACACGGUCCAGACUCCUACGGGAGGCAGCAGUGGGGAAUAUUGGACAAUGGGCGAAAGCCUGAUCCAGCCAUGCCGCGUGUGUGAAGAAGGUCUUCGGAUUGUAAAGCACUUUAAGUUGGGAGGAAGGGCAGUAAGUUAAUACCUUGCUGUUUUGACGUUACCAACAGAAUAAGCACCGGCUAACUUCGUG